Molecule: ribosomal RNA, 262 nt
Filed under: uncultured bacterium
Lineage: Bacteria
Description: partial 16S ribosomal RNA
Rfam family: Bacterial small subunit ribosomal RNA
Source: RNAcentral
CGUAGGGUGCGAGCGUUGUCCGGAAUCAUUGGGCGUAAAGAGCUCGUAGGCGGCUUGUCGCGUCGGAUGUGAAAACCCGGGGCUUAACCCCGGGCCGUGCAUUCGAUACGGGCGAGGCGUAGAGUUCGGCAGGGGAGGACUGGAAGUUCCUGGUGUAGCGGUGAAAUAGCGCAGAUAUCAGGAGGAACACCGGUGGCGAAGGCGGGUCGUCUGGGCCGAUACUGACGCUGAGGAGCGAAAGACGUGGGGAGCGAACAGGAUU